ACCACUGCUUUGCAAAUGCAUUGCAGAGUAAGGCAAAGGCAGUGUAUUACUUUGCAGAAGGAAUCCUUUGCAGAGCCAUGAAUCGAUCCUACUGAGAUGCUGACCUUCAGUUUGCUGAGACAUAAACCAGGAAGAGUAAUGGAUCUACAGGAGAAACACAAACUACAUUAGUUUUAUUUAUUUUUUUCCAAGUGACAGAGUUCAUAGAUAUCAUUCACUUCCACCUUCAGGAUACACAGAAAGUCCUUGCCAGGUAGACAGCUGCAGAAGCUGAGCACUCACUUACUAAAAAGCACCCAAGAGAGAUGCUUUCAGCCCCUUUGAGACGUUCCAUCCCCAGUGACAUGUUGCAUUCCCAAGCUAAGUGUAAAAACAUUUGUGAAUCUCAAGCCAGACACUGUAUUUCUAGGUUGACUAGAUAGAUAGGUGAACUGUGGUUCAUCAUGCAAUGGAUUACAUGCCAGAGAAUGGUUUACAUACAAGCAAGUAUGCUAAGGUAAAAACUCAAGAGAACAAAUAUGCACAGAAAGUCAAAGCAAUUCUGUUAGCUUUGCAGUGAUUCUGUCUCAAGGCCCCUUUCGUGGGACUAAAAAAAAUGGUAGACUGCUGAAAUUCCAGUGUCUGGGCACCUACAUGUAGCUCUGACCUUGGCCUCCUUUCUUCAGCUUGAUAGUAAAGAGAUUUGGUAACACCCAAUAUGAUCUGUACCAGAUUCUUCAAUAUGCAGCCACUCAACUCAACUGUGAGGCACCCUGGGCAGAGCCAAAAAAAACGUCAGCCCCAAAGUUCUUGCAGAGCUUCUUGAAGUGAUAAAAUGAAACCUUGCUUCAGUAAGUGUGAAAACCGUCAAUUAAGUUACAGCUCUGAGGAUUGUGCCUCUCCUCUACUGAGAUCAGGAGCUCAGGUGGGUCUAGGGUUUGAACGUAUAGGGGUUAAAUAAGGUAGCUUUAGAAACUAGGGGAGGAGGAGGACAUCUCAACAUUUCCUGGUCAGCUGUGCAAAUGCAAAGAAAGGAACAAUACAAAAUGAACGGCUUUGACUGCUUUGAAUGCACCGUAAAAAGGUCACACGGAGGAAGAUGUCGAGCCUUUGCAAGGAAGACUUCUGACUUCAUCCCCACGACUACCAGAGGGAGACCCCUACUACAGACAACGCAUGCACCAGGGGAGGGGUAGUAUGUAAAUGAGUUCCUGGAAGGAUAAUGAAUAUGUAAAUGGAUUCCAAGAAUUCUGCUGAAUAUGUAUGGCCUUGGCUUACAGAUUUGUAGAGCUUUUGCUUGCUGGUUUGGUGGAGUGAUCCCUUUUGCACCCGACUGAUUGCGCAAUCAUUGAAUAAAUCAUACCUGCUUUAUAAC
This is a long non-coding RNA of Gallus gallus (chicken), 1354 nucleotides long. Lineage: Eukaryota; Metazoa; Chordata; Aves; Galliformes; Phasianidae. The record is from Ensembl.